RNAcentral lists this transfer RNA (69 nucleotides) under Curtos costipennis. Its description in RNAcentral is "tRNA-Gln". Lineage: Eukaryota; Metazoa; Arthropoda; Insecta; Coleoptera; Lampyridae. The record is from RNAcentral.
UAUUUUUUAUUAUAUAAUGUAUAAAGAUUUUUGAAAUCUUAGGAAAUAGUUAAAUUCUAUUAAAAAUAA